RNAcentral lists this ribosomal RNA (1000 nucleotides) under Vibrio vulnificus. RNAcentral describes it as "bacterial SSU rRNA". It matches the Rfam family "Bacterial small subunit ribosomal RNA", at positions 456 to 1454 of the family's 1533-position model. Lineage: Bacteria; Pseudomonadati; Pseudomonadota; Gammaproteobacteria; Vibrionales; Vibrionaceae. The record is from RNAcentral.
AUAGCGGCAUCAUUUGACGUUAGCACAGAAGAAGCACCGUGCUCACUCCGUGCUAGCAGCUGCAGUAAUACGGAAGGGUGCGUAGCCGUAAUCUGAAAUUACUGGACGUAGAGCGCAUGCAGGUGGUUGUUAAGUCAGAUGUGAAAGCCCGGGGCUCAACCUCGGAACUGCAUUUGAAACUGGCAGACUAGAGUACUGUAGAGGGGGUAGAAUUUCAGGUGUAGCGGUGAAAUGCGUAGAGAUCUGAAGGAAUACCGGUGGCGAAGGCGGCCCCCUGGACAGAUACUGACACUCAGAUGCGAAAGCGUGGGGAGCAAACAGGAUUAGAUACCCUGGUAGUCCACGCUGUAAACGAUGUCUACUUGGAGGUUGUGGCCUUGAGCCGUGGCUUUCGGAGCUAACGCGUUAAGUAGACCGCCUGGGGAGUACGGUCGCAAGAUUAAAACUCAAAUGAAUUGACGGGGGCCCGCACAAGCGGUGGAGCAUGUGGUUUAAUUCGAUGCAACGCGAAGAACCUUACCUACUCUUGACAUCCAGAGAAUCUAGCGGAGACGCAGGUGUGCCUUCGGGAACUCUGAGACAGGUGCUGCAUGGCUGUCGUCAGCUCGUGUUGUGAAAUGUUGGGUUAAGUCCCGCAACGAGCGCAACCCUUAUCCUUGUUUGCCAGCGAGUAAUGUCGGGAACUCCAGGGAGACUGCCGGUGAUAAACCUGAGGAAGGUGGGGACGACGUCAAGUCAUCAUGGCCCUUACGAGUAGGGCUACACACGUGCUACAAUGGCGCAUACAGAGGGCGGCCAACUUGCGAAAGUGAGCGAAUCCCAAAAAGUGCGUCGUAGUCCGGAUUGGAGUCUGCAACUCGACUCCAUGAAGUCGGAAUCGCUAGUAAUCGUGGAUCAGAAUGCCACGGUGAAUACGUUCCCGGGCCUUGUACACACCGCCCGUCACACCAUGGGAGUGGGCUGCAAAAGAAGUGGUGUAGUUAACUUCGGGAGGACGCUC